Molecule: ribosomal RNA, 474 nt
Filed under: Nocardiopsis exhalans
Lineage: Bacteria; Bacillati; Actinomycetota; Actinomycetes; Streptosporangiales; Nocardiopsidaceae
Description: bacterial SSU rRNA
Rfam family: Bacterial small subunit ribosomal RNA
Source: RNAcentral
UAGUUAGAGUUUUGACGUGGCUCAGGACGAACGCUGGCGGCGUGCUUAACACAUGCAAGUCGAGCGGUAAGGCCCUUCGGGGUACACGAGCGGCGAACGGGUGAGUAACACGUGAGCAACCUGCCCCUGACUCCGGGAUAAGCGGUGGAAACGCCGUCUAAUACCGGAUAUGACACACCAUCUCCUGGUGGUGUGUGGAAAGUUUUGUCGGUCAGGGAUGGGCUCGCGGCCUAUCAGCUAGUUGGUGGGGUAAAGGCCUACCAAGGCGAUUACGGGUAGCCGGCCUGAGAGGGCGACCGGCCACACUGGGACUGAGACACGGCCCAGACUCCUGCGGGAGGCAGCAGUGGGGAAUAUUGCACAAUGGGCGAAAGCCUGAUGCAGCGACGCCGCGUGGGGGAUGACGGCCUUCGGGUUGUAAACCUCUUUUACCACCAACGCAGGCCCCGGGUUCUCUCGGGGUGACGGUAGGUG